AACGAACGCUGGCGGCAUGCCUAACACAUGCAAGUCGAACGAGACCUUCGGGUCUAGUGGCGCACGGGUGCGUAACGCGUGGGAACCUGCCUUGAGGUUCGGAAUAACGCAGAGGAAUUUGAGCUAAUACCGGAUGAUGUCUUCGGACCAAAGAUUUAUCGCCUUUAGAUGGGCCCGCGUUGGAUUAGCUAGUUGGUGGGGUAAAGGCCUACCAAGGCGACGAUCCAUAGCUGGUCUGAGAGGAUGAUCAGCGACACUGGGACUGAGACACGGCCCAGACUACUACGGGAGGCAGCAGUGGGGAAUAUUGGACAAUGGGCGAAAGCCUGAUCCAGCAAUGCCGCGUGAGUGAUGAAGGCCUUAGGGUUGUAAAGCUCUUUUACCCGAGAUGAUAAUGACAGUAUCGGGAGAAUAAGCUCCGGCUAACUCCGUG
This 433-nucleotide ribosomal RNA is filed under the name uncultured bacterium. RNAcentral describes it as "partial 16S ribosomal RNA". It matches the Rfam family "Bacterial small subunit ribosomal RNA", at positions 29 to 507 of the family's 1533-position model. The record is from RNAcentral.